This 484-nucleotide ribosomal RNA is filed under the name uncultured bacterium. RNAcentral describes it as "partial 16S ribosomal RNA". It matches the Rfam family "Bacterial small subunit ribosomal RNA", at positions 30 to 507 of the family's 1533-position model. The record is from RNAcentral.
AUUGAACGCUGGCGGCAGGCCUAACACAUGCAAGUCGAGCGGAUGAAGGGAGCUUGCUCCUGGAUUCAGCGGCGGACGGGUGAGUAAUGCCUAGGAAUCUGCCUGGUAGUGGGGGAUAACGUCCGGAAACGGGCGCUAAUACCGCAUACGUCCUGAGGGAGAAAGUGGGGGAUCUUCGGACCUCACGCUAUCAGAUGAGCCUAGGUCGGAUUAGCUAGUUGGUGGGGUAAAGGCCUACCAAGGCGACGAUCCGUAACUGGUCUGAGAGGAUGAUCAGUCACACUGGAACUGAGACACGGUCCAGACUCCUAAGGGAGGCAGCAGUGGGGAAUAUUGGACAAUGGGGGAAAGCCUGAUCCAGCCAUGCCGCGUGUGUGAAGAAGGUCUUCUGAUUGUAAAGCACUUUAAGUUGGGAGGAAGGGCAGUAAGUUAAUACCUUGCUGUUUUGACGGUACCAGCAGAAGAAGCACCGGCUAACUUCGUG